Molecule: non-coding RNA, 67 nt
Filed under: Candidimonas nitroreducens
Lineage: Bacteria; Pseudomonadati; Pseudomonadota; Betaproteobacteria; Burkholderiales; Alcaligenaceae
Description: Fluoride sequence
Rfam family: Fluoride riboswitch aptamer (crcB RNA motif)
Source: Rfam by way of RNAcentral
UGCGCACAAGGAGAUGGCAUUCCUCCUUCAACCGCUGAUCCCAUCGGCUGAUGAUGCCUACGAAGCU